RNAcentral lists this non-coding RNA (29 nucleotides) under Rattus norvegicus (Norway rat). The record is from RNAcentral. Lineage: Eukaryota; Metazoa; Chordata; Mammalia; Rodentia; Muridae.
UAGAAAGAACCAGAGGGAGCUGGGUGGUU